UACGGGAGGCAGCAGUGGGGAAUAUUGCACAAUGGGCGCAAGCCUGAUGCAGCCAUGCCGCGUGUAUGAAGAAGGCCUUCGGGUUGUAAAGUACUUUCAGUCGUGAGGAAGGUGUUAAGGUUAAUAACCUUAGCAAUUGACGUUAGCGACAGAAGAAGCACCGGCUAACUCCGUGCCAGCAGCCGCGGUAAUACGGAGGGUGCGAGCGUUAAUCGGAAUUACUGGGCGUAAAGGGCACGCAGGCGGUUAAUUAAGUUGGAUGUGAAAUCCCCGGGCUUAACCUGGGAAUGGCAUUCAAGACUGGUUAGCUAGAGUCUUGUAGAGGGGGUAGAAUUCCAUGUGUAGCGGUGAAAUGCGUAGAGAUGUGGAGGAAUACCGGUGGCGAAGGCGGCCCCCUGGACAAAGGACUGACGCUCAUGUGCGAAAAGCGUGGGGAGCAAACAGGGAUUAGAUA
Molecule: ribosomal RNA, 454 nt
Filed under: uncultured bacterium
Lineage: Bacteria
Description: bacterial SSU rRNA
Rfam family: Bacterial small subunit ribosomal RNA
Source: RNAcentral